RNAcentral lists this ribosomal RNA (430 nucleotides) under uncultured Delftia sp. Its description in RNAcentral is "bacterial SSU rRNA". It matches the Rfam family "Bacterial small subunit ribosomal RNA", at positions 355 to 774 of the family's 1533-position model. Lineage: Bacteria; Pseudomonadati; Pseudomonadota; Betaproteobacteria; Burkholderiales; Comamonadaceae. The record is from RNAcentral.
UGGGGAAUUUUUGGACAAUGGGCGAAAGCCUGAUCCAGCAAUGCCGCGUGCAGGAUGAAGGCCUUCGGGUUGUAAACUGCUUUUGUACGGAACGAAAAAGCUCCUUCUAAUACAGGGGGGCCCAUGACGGUACCGUAAGAAUAAGCACCGGCUAACUACGUGCCAGCAGCCGCGGUAAUACGUAGGGUGCGAGCGUUAAUCGGAAUUACUGGGCGUAAAGCGUGCGCAGGCGGUUAUGUAAGACAGAUGUGAAAUCCCCGGGCUCAACCUGGGAACUGCAUUUGUGACUGCAUGGCUAGAGUACGGUAGAGGGGGAUGGAAUUCCGCGUGUAGCAGUGAAAUGCGUUAGAUAUGCGGAGGAACACCGAUGGCGAAGGCAAUCCCCUGGACCUGUACUGACGCUCAUGCACGAAAGCGUGGGGAGCAAACA